RNAcentral lists this transfer RNA (88 nucleotides) under Aestuariimicrobium sp. T2.26MG-19.2B. Its description in RNAcentral is "tRNA-Glu(ctc)". The record is from RNAcentral. Lineage: Bacteria; Bacillati; Actinomycetota; Actinomycetes; Propionibacteriales; Propionibacteriaceae.
ACACCGAAUAGGUGGCCUGGUAGGCGCCGGGCGGGAUCUCGGCCUGCUGGCCCACCAUGGCGGCCCGGAUCGCGGCCGUGUCGAUCUU